UGGACCAAUGAUGACCACUGGUGGCGUAUGAGUCACGGACGAUGAGUGAUACGUGUCUGGACGUCUGAGGUCAUG
Small nucleolar RNA from Dasypus novemcinctus (nine-banded armadillo), 75 nucleotides. The record is from Ensembl. Lineage: Eukaryota; Metazoa; Chordata; Mammalia; Cingulata; Dasypodidae.